UGGAUUCGGAAGGAUAUGUGUUUAG
This 25-nucleotide non-coding RNA is filed under the name Drosophila erecta. The record is from RNAcentral. Lineage: Eukaryota; Metazoa; Arthropoda; Insecta; Diptera; Drosophilidae. RNAcentral also lists the same sequence under 1 other name.